CCAUCAUUCUGUCUACUUUCAGAAUCUUCAUUAUCCUCCGAAGCGCCAGUUUUUUCCACCAUGGGUUCAGGUGAUACCUCAGUCGAAAUUCCACCAUGCUCUUCAUCUGAUGAAGGUUGUUCUGGAGAUUUAGAGUCUCCCAAUUCUUCUGUGACACUGUCAUCCCCUUUAUGCCCCAUGAAGGCCAUGACUGGAUCAAAAAGAGCUUUCCUAUCUGAAGCUGAUGGCCAUAUUCCAGAAGUGGUAGCUUCGCCGGAAUCCGGCCUCUCCUCCAAUCCAAGCGCGCUAUCAAAA
This 294-nucleotide unclassified non-coding RNA is filed under the name Hevea brasiliensis (rubber tree). Lineage: Eukaryota; Viridiplantae; Streptophyta; Magnoliopsida; Malpighiales; Euphorbiaceae. The record is from RNAcentral.